CAUCAACAAAGACAAUCGUGGAUUGCUAAAUGAUAUGCACACCAUGGGUUCUAAGUCAUAUGCAUCAUUACGUUAUAAGCUGCAACAAGAGGAUACUAAUAAGCAAGAACCUUCUCAAGGUAAGGUGUACAAAGAAUCAAGGAGAAGAAUUCCCAGAAAAACAUAUUCCACUAGCUAUGAGGAAAUUACAUAAAAUAUUGCCAAGAUGGAUGCUCUAGAUUACAUCCAAAAUGAAGAAGGCAACUCUAAGGAUCCUUACUUUGAAGUCAUAAAGAAUCCCAAGCGCAAUAGUCGAUUACGCCUUUAUGGGAAAGGUGUGACGAAGAAUAGUUUUAAAAAAAGAAACACAAACGCGGGAUUCAUAUUUCCUCAGGAAUUCAAACAAAGUAUGUGGACACAAUUGGCGGAGGAGAUUGCACCGAGCAUGGCAUCAAUGAUUCUAUCUCAGAUUCGAGAAGCUAAUCCAGAAUUAAAUAUUGUCAUUCCUAAUUUUCAGAUUACGCCAGCACCAAGGGAUCAAUCUAGUGCUCCAGAUAAUACCAAUGAACCAAAUGGCCAAUCAUCUAUUGGGACACACUCUUUACAUCAGGUAAUAUCACAUUCUAAAACAACAUUUUUUGUGAGUUUUUUCCCCACCUCACUCACUUCCUUUUAAGCUAAUUUUAAUUUUUAUAUAGGCAGUUAGCUCUACUUAGAAGUAUUACAAGUAGUUUAUAUCUCUGCUUGCUUCCUUUCCUAAUUGUUUGGGCCUUCUAUUACUCCCACUUUCUUGGAUUUUCUGUGCACCCCUUAAUGUGACAGUCUAAAAAUUAUACAAUCUGCUUGGUUUCUGAGA
Molecule: long non-coding RNA, 835 nt
Organism: Beta vulgaris subsp. vulgaris (sugar beet)
Lineage: Eukaryota; Viridiplantae; Streptophyta; Magnoliopsida; Caryophyllales; Amaranthaceae
Exons: 3
Source: RefSeq, a predicted model, not a curated record